Molecule: non-coding RNA, 36 nt
Organism: Chryseobacterium sp.
Lineage: Bacteria; Pseudomonadati; Bacteroidota; Flavobacteriia; Flavobacteriales; Weeksellaceae
Source: Rfam
UUGGGCGAAGCCGAAAACCCAUAAACAGAGUAGGCA